Long non-coding RNA from Pseudopipra pipra, 3407 nucleotides. RefSeq lists it as uncharacterized. The transcript has 6 exons. NCBI's taxonomy places the organism in Eukaryota, Metazoa, Chordata, Aves, Passeriformes, Pipridae. The record is from RefSeq and is a predicted model, not a curated record.
CCAAGUUCCGAUUGACAUGGAAUUUAAAACCUUAGCCUUCAAAAACUUUCUUCUUUUGAGAGAUUACCAAAGACUGGGAAACUCUGCUAUCAAGGUACAUAGGAAAUAAAAUUUUCCUUUCAUUAACCAGUUUCUUUAAAUGAAAUUAUCAGAUCCGUGGCAUUUCUUCGUGGUUUUGAAGCUGGAAAUUUUUGUUUCUUGUCAUUGUUGUUGUCACUGACAGUGUGUGGUAAGAGAAAUGAAGAGAUACUGGGAAGAGAAUUUUAUGAUGUACAGAGGAGGUCAGUGGCGAGUUUGGGAAUGAUGAUAUGAUUUCUAUGCUCAACUUCAAAAGGAUAAAACUGAUUCUGUGUGCAGCAUCAUCUAAGAAACUUCCAGCUAUGCAGUUUUUUUUGACAGGAUUUAACUAUUUGCAGGUACUAAAGGAGAUGGGCUUAGAUUUCUUGUGAUAAAAUAUUUGAUUUUCUGAUUGAAGACUUAGUAACACGUAGGCUUCUGGAAUUGAUGACAGCUGUGCAAAUUCCUGUUACUGAAGCAGGGGAGGGAGCCAGGAAAUCAAGCACCAGCCCUUUCCCUUUUCUUAUUGCUCACUCAGCUGCUGUCUAAAGCCCCAGCUACGGCCUCAUUCUUUCAAGGCUGAGUUAUCUUGUGUGGUAUGAAGAGGGUUGCCGUGAAGAAUGAGGAUUUGCAGACAGCUGUGCUGCACAUACCUGUGCAUCCCAAGGAACCAGCAUCUGUCCUUCAUGAACUGACAAAAAGACCAGCAGGACCCACGAUCACCUGAAGCAAACAAUGCCAUAGAUAUUGUUUGGGAACAACAGUCAGACACUCGGGGAAAACCUUUGCUUCGAUGAACAAAAGCCACCCAAGACAGUUCUUUGUCCUAGACUUCCAGCUACUCUGACCCUCAGGGUCUUUGGACUAUCACAACAGUCUGUCAAACAGACAAGUAAAUGAACUUUCUUUUGGAUUAUGUAGUGAUUGUCAUACACCUAAAAUACUGCCAAGAGCUCAGCUGGAUUUCUAAACUAGGAUUCCAAAUACCUGCUGAAGGGACAGAGACUAUAGAUGAACUCAUUCUGCCCCACUUCUGUGUAAAGAAGAGAAUGACCAGCUGGUGAUGAAAAUCUAAUUAUUGGCUUGUUUAAUCAGGAAUUAUUUGUUCAUGUCUUUAUCCCAGGAGAGAUUGCAGAAGUCUUGGGAGUACCUUCCACGCCCAAAGGUUUGGGAGCAUGAAGUGCCUGGCAGAUCCUACAAUACUGCUGGUAAAGUACAAUGCAUAAAAACACAGUACUCUCCACAAACUGUUUCAUCAUGACUGUCUGUUAGCAGGAAACCAACAAAUGAUCUCUGGGACCUCGUUGUACUUUUCCACGGUACCAACUGUGGCACUGAAGUGGUACUGAGAGUACAAAUAUAUGUUUAAUCCAUUUCUGCCACUUCUGAGGAUCAAAGAAACAAAGGGGAACAUAAAGCAGUUAUGAAAACUAUUUUCUCUAAAGAGUGAUUUUCCCAGGCAAAACUCACCUCCAGUCGUAGGAGAUAACCUGGAUUCCUGCCUGAGCUGAUCGGAGCUGAAGUCAAAGGUUUGGUUUUCCUCAUUGUGGUUUCCGUCUUCAAUCCCAUCUACAAUUCUGUUGAGAAAAAUCAGGGUAGUGGAGCAGUUUCAUAAACAGUUUCAUAAACAUCACGUUCAUAAUUAUACUGUAAAAAUUACUCCUAAAGGGCACAUUUUUAAACAAUGGUAAAUUUUGCACAACAUUAAGUUUAGAGAAAAGUAAAAACUAUUAUACUGGUAUAACUUCUUGUGAGUCACUAAAGAUUAAACUUAGUGUUAAUGGAAGGAACAUGAGGCCAAAAAUAAUUAACUGAAGUUUCAAAAUUUUCAUGACUUUUACAGCGUAUUCUGAGUCUUAUCUAAACCUAUAGGGAAUAUAGUUUGCUUUUCAUAGCUAAAGUAAUCUGUUGCCACCUUUUCCUCUGCACAAUCUAAAAAGCUCUUAUUAAGCUAAAAUCUGCCUGCACAUAACAACCAGGCUCUUAUAUUAGCCUUACUUAGGCAGAGCCUAAGCCUGAACUUAAUAUAUUUAUGAAAACAUCUCUGUAAAAUUCAGUCAAAAGUGUCAUUUCCAUGCAAACAGUUAUUAUAAAUUUGUUUAAAUUUAACUAGCUCAGGCAGGGCAAUCUUGUUUGUAAAUUGGAUAUAGGAAGAUGUGCAGACUAGCCUGCAGUGUCCUAGUUACAUUAAUAUCAAUAUUGGAUAUGACUACCAGAAAAAGUAUUUUUGUCACUUAUUUCUACCCAUGCAUAGCAGUUAUCUCCAUUUUCCCAUGUUAAGAAUUCCAAAGGAAAAAAAGGUACAGUACUUUAUAAAAUAAUCAAUUCUGCAUGCAAAGAAUAGAAAACAUGUAUCAGAUGGAGGAAUAAAUACCCAGGAUUAAAAAUACAUAAUUACGAAUAUUUUUUGUUCUGAGUUAUAAUAAAUCGUGCUAUAAAGAGAACUGUUUUAAAGUCAAUGAAAGAGACUGACAACUGCCAGUUGACAGAUAUAAAGCAUGAAUUUCUUCUUUUGUUCAGGCACAAGCUUCAUAUUUUGUCUUACAGUAGGCAGAUGAGUUUAAUACUAAUCUUGAAGGGCUAAAGCAGGCAGUUCUUGGCCUCUCAGUUACUGGUGAUAACUUUGGGGUGAUGGAAACUAGACUUUUCAUCUAAUAAGGAUAUUUUCAAGAAAACCUCUUGACUACAACUGUCUGGAGAAAGGAAAAACAGACAACACAGAGAUAUCUGUGAUGUAUUUGCCUUGAAAGACCAAUGUAACUUAGACCUCUGUGCACAUACCAUGUAUUCUUGUCUUUUUUGGUUCUUCAUGUGGCUUUUGGGCUCUGUUUCAUGUCUGAGUGUUCAUGAUGCCUGCUGGAUAUUACUAGACUUCAUUCUAAUCUUAACCAGCCUCUGGGAGAAGAUGAGACACAAAUGAGGUGCUUCAGCCGCUCUGGCCGAUAAUGCUAUCUGCAGCUGGAAAACUGAAUGAUUACUUUAUUUGAAAUUUGCUAUAAAACCUAUUUAAUGUCAUCUGGCUUCGCUACUUCAAAAAGCAAAUUUUAAACACCAAUAUCCCUUUUAUAAAAGUUUCUAAUUAUAUGAAAUGAUAACAUUUCAACUGCCUUUAAAGCACACAGGAGAAAGCUUACUCAGACAUUACUUGAAAUUCAGAGAUGCUACAUUCUUUAAAAUGUUUAAAGAUUCAGGCUAAAAAGAAAUUAUAUUAGCAAAAGUAGCUAGUCGUGGAGUGCCAAAAGACAGGCUUCUAUGUGGGAAAUAUGUAAUGGGCAACAUCCUUACUCAUAUACAAGGAAUGGGCUGUGGAGCAAUAUCUAAUAAAUUGAAAAUGUGAGGUGACAAAAGAA